UUGACCUCGGAUCAGGUAGGGAUACCCGCUGAACUUAAGCAUAUCAAUAAGCGGAGGAAAAGAAACCAACUGGGAUUGCCUCAGUAACUGCGAGUGAAGUGGCAAAAGCUCAAAUUUGAAAUCCGGUACCUCUGGUGCCUGAGUUGUAAUUUGGAGAGACAAAUCUUGCGGAUGGUGCCGGCCUAGGUUCCUUGGAACAGGACAACACAGAGGGUGAGAAUCCCGUGCAUGGCUGGAUUGCUGUCGCGUAAUAGACUGUCUUCGACGAGUCGAGUUGUUUGGGAAUGCAGCUCAAAAUGGGUGGUAAAUGUCAUCUAAAGCUAAAUAUUGGCGAGAGACCGAUAGCGCACAAGUAGAGUGAUCGAAAGAUGAAAAGCACUUUGAAAAGAGAGUCAAAAAGUACGUGAAAUUGCUGAAAGGGAAGCGCUUGAGACCAGACUCGAGUCGUGGUGAUCAGUCGUGCUUCUGUACGGUGCCACUUGCCACGGUUUGGGCCAGCAUCGGUUCCGGCGGUCGGAUAAAAGGUUUGGGAAUGUAGCUUCCUUUGGGGAGUGUUAUAGCCCUCAUCACAAUGCGGCCAGCUGGGAUCGAGGACCGCGCUUUAGGGCUAGGAUGCUGGCGUAAUGGUCUUAAGCGACCCGUCUUGAAACACGGACCAAGGAGUCUAACAUCUAUGCGAGUGUUCGGGUGAAAAACCCUUGCGCGCAAUGAAAGUGAACGGAGGUGGGAACCCGCAAGGGUGCACCAUCGACCGAUCCCGAUGUCUUCGGAAGGAUUUGAGUAGGAGCAUAGCUGUUGGGACCCGAAAGAUGGUGAACUAUGCCUGAAUAGGGUGAAGCCAGAGGAAACUCUGGUGGAGGCUCGCAGCGGUUCUGACGUGCAAAUCGAUCGUCAAAUUUGGGUAUAGGGGCGAAAGACUAAUCGAACCAUCUA
RNAcentral lists this ribosomal RNA (933 nucleotides) under Pezizales sp. O35. Its description in RNAcentral is "eukaryotic LSU rRNA". It matches the Rfam family "Eukaryotic large subunit ribosomal RNA", at positions 1 to 946 of the family's 3401-position model. Lineage: Eukaryota; Fungi; Ascomycota; Pezizomycetes; Pezizales. The record is from RNAcentral.